RNAcentral lists this ribosomal RNA (465 nucleotides) under uncultured bacterium. RNAcentral's name for it is "partial 16S ribosomal RNA". It matches the Rfam family "Bacterial small subunit ribosomal RNA", at positions 28 to 507 of the family's 1533-position model. The record is from RNAcentral.
GACGAACGCUGGCGGCGUGCUUAACACAUGCAAGUCGAACGGAAAGGCCCUGCUUGCAGGGUACUCGAGUGGCGAACGGGUGAGUAACACGUGGGUGAUCUGCCCUGCACUUCGGGAUAAGCCUGGGAAACUGGGUCUAAUACCGGAUAGGAGCCAUUUUUAGUGUGAUGGUUGGAAAGUUUUUUCGGUGUAGGAUGAGCUCGCGGCCUAUCAGCUUGUUGGUGGGGUAAUGGCCUACCAAGGCGGCGACGGGUAGCCGGCCUGAGAGGGUGGACGGCCACAGUGGGACUGAGAUACGGCCCAGACUCCUACGGGAGGCAGCAGGGGGGAAUAUUGAACAAUGGGCGCAAGCCUGAUGCAGCGACGCCGCGGGGGGGAUGACGGCCCUCGGGUUGUAAACUCCUUUCGCUAGGGCCGAAGCUUUUUGUGACGGUACCUAGAUAAGAAGCACCGGCUAACUACGUG